This 274-nucleotide ribosomal RNA is filed under the name uncultured bacterium. RNAcentral's name for it is "partial 16S ribosomal RNA". It matches the Rfam family "Bacterial small subunit ribosomal RNA", at positions 523 to 796 of the family's 1533-position model. The record is from RNAcentral.
AUACGAAAGGUGCAAGCGUUGUUCGGAUUUACUGGGCGUAAAGAGAGUGUAGGUGGUUUAUUAAGUCGGAUGUGAAAUCCCGGGGCUCAACCUCGGAACUGCAUUCGAUACUGAUAGGCUAGAGUUUGGGAGGGGUAAGCGGAAUUCCGUGUGUAGCAGUGAAAUGCGUAGAUAUACGGAGGAACACCUGAGGCGAAGGCGGCUUACUGGACCGAUACUGACACUGAGACUCGAAAGCGUGGGUAGCAAACAGGAUUAGAUACCCGGGUAGUCC